Molecule: ribosomal RNA, 558 nt
Filed under: Scopelengys tristis (Pacific blackchin)
Lineage: Eukaryota; Metazoa; Chordata; Actinopteri; Myctophiformes; Neoscopelidae
Description: partial 16S ribosomal RNA
Rfam family: Bacterial large subunit ribosomal RNA
Source: RNAcentral
GGUCCCGCCUGCCCUGUGACUAUAUGUUUAACGGCCGCUGUAUUUUGACCGUGCGAAGGUAGCGCAAUCACUUGUCUUUUAAGUGGAGACCUGUAUGAAAGGCACCACGAGGGCUUAACUGUCUCCCCUUUAAAGUCAAUGAAAUUGAUCUCCCCGUGCAGAAGCGGGGAUGGCCUCGUAAGACGAGAAGACCCUAUGGAGCUUAAGACACAAAGCGGCCCGCGUCAAACACCUCAACUAAAAGAGCUGAACAAAGUGUGACCCCCGCCGAAAUGUCUUUGGUUGGGGCGACCGCGGGGAAAGAAAAAACCCCCACGUGGACCGGGACCACAUGUCCUAAAACCAAGACCCACAGAUCAAGGCAACAGAACCUCUGACCACUAAUAGAUCCGGCAACGCCGAUCAACGGACCGAGUUACCCUAGGGAUAACAGCGCAAUCCCCUCCCAGAGCCCAUAUCGACGAGGGGGUUUACGACCUCGAUGUUGGAUCAGGACAUCCUAAUGGUGCAGCCGCUAUUAAGGGUUCGUUUGUUCAACGAUUAAAGUCCUACGUGAUC